UCGGGUCAUAUGGUACAUUCCCCU
This 24-nucleotide non-coding RNA is filed under the name Arabidopsis thaliana (thale cress). The record is from RNAcentral. Lineage: Eukaryota; Viridiplantae; Streptophyta; Magnoliopsida; Brassicales; Brassicaceae.